CAAGCUUUUAGCUGUCUGGGCUAGUUUGUGGUUUUCGUUUCACCCAAUAGAGGGCCCCCUAGCCUGUAGUGGCAAGGAAACUAACUACACCCUGUGUAGCUUAGUAGGCACAAAAUAAACCUUAUGUCUCAGGCUGACAACACAUUAACCUGCGUGUUGGGUUCUUUCUUGUCAUUGUAGAGAGAGGGAGAGCGAGAGAGAAAAGAGAGAAGAAGAACACCAACGAACCAAUAACAGGCAUCAUACAGCUAUGUAAUUUUGUGCACGGCCCAGGUACCCCUAGGCCUUGAGGCCGGCAGAAUAAAACGCACAAGAACCGACAAGGGACACUGAAACAAUGGGACUAUAUAUAUACACACGAAGUAACAGAAGGCACCUGGGUGCAGGUAACGAGGGGUGGAGCUAAUAAAUGGACACAGGUGAGAGCAUUGAAGGCAGGGGCAGAGACAAGCAGAACACAGAAGGCCAUGUGCUAAGGAGAGCAUGGAGGAGAAAGGCACUUUGACGGACCAACGUCUAUCAACGCACUAUCAACAUUCCACCCUUACUGCAAAAUCUGCAGGAACUGCGUCAAAAUAUUUGAGCUACAUGGGAUGGAUUAUUACAGGACACCAUUAGGAACCUCUACAACUCCAUGCUGAGAUGUCUGGCAUGUUGUUUACACAUGUGUUAGACACUACGUCUGUAUGUGUAUAGAUUAUUAAACACUGCCUAUAUUUCUUAAGUUCACAUAAUUCUUUUAUGGCAAGCAAACAAGAGUUUUGAAUCAACAUGUUUUGUUCUUUUUUUUAAUUCAGGAAAAAAUAAUCUGUUUCAUUUUAAGGCGAAAACCGUGUAGAACUGCUUUGUCUCCCUGCACCUUAGUUCUGCACCUCUUUUGCAUCUCAAGUAUGUAACCCCCCACCACCAGCCAGAACAUCUAAUUCCAGGCAGCUGAAAGCAGAUCAAAUAUAAAUGAAGAUGGAGACGCAUAAAACAGGCGAAUAAAAUAUACGGCCCUGCCUCUUUACGCCCUGGC
RNAcentral lists this long non-coding RNA (1018 nucleotides) under Astyanax mexicanus (Mexican tetra). RNAcentral describes it as "lncRNA (ENSAMXG00005001692.1)". The record is from RNAcentral. Lineage: Eukaryota; Metazoa; Chordata; Actinopteri; Characiformes; Acestrorhamphidae.